CCUACGGGCGGCUGCAGUAGGGAAUAUUGCUCAAUGGGGGAAACCCUGAAGCAGCAACGCCGCGUGGAGGAUGAAGGUUUUCGGAUUGUAAACUCCUUUUGUUAGAGAAGAUAAUGACGGUAUCUAACGAAUAAGCACCGGCGAACUAUGCGCCAGCAGCCGCGGUAAUACGGAGGGUGCAAGCGUUACUCGGAAUCACUGGGCGUAAAGAGCGCGUAGGCGGGAUAGCAAGUCAGAUGUGAAAUCCUAUGGCUUAACCAUAGAACUGCAUUUGGAACUGUUAUUCUAGAGUAUGGGAGAGGUAGGUGGAAUUCUUGGUGUAGGGGUGAAAUCCGUAGAGAUCAAGAGGAAUACUCAUGGCGAAGGCGGCCUGCUGGAACAUGACUGACGCUGAUGCGCGAAAGCGUGGGGAGCAAACAGGAUUAGAUACCCCUGUAGUC
Molecule: ribosomal RNA, 440 nt
Filed under: uncultured bacterium
Lineage: Bacteria
Description: partial 16S ribosomal RNA
Rfam family: Bacterial small subunit ribosomal RNA
Source: RNAcentral